Pteropus alecto (black flying fox) is the source of this 116-nucleotide non-coding RNA. Lineage: Eukaryota; Metazoa; Chordata; Mammalia; Chiroptera; Pteropodidae. The record is from Rfam.
GUCUACAGCCACACCACCCUGAACGAGCCCGAUGUCUGAUCUCGGAAGCUAAGCUGGGUCGGGCCUGGUUAGUACUUGGAUGGGAGACCACCCAGGAAGACCAGGUGCUGUAGGCA